Molecule: small RNA, 578 nt
Filed under: Pongo abelii (Sumatran orangutan)
Lineage: Eukaryota; Metazoa; Chordata; Mammalia; Primates; Hominidae
Description: processed transcript
Source: RNAcentral
GUGCUGCCUGGCGCUGGCUAGGAGGCAAACGCACGCGGGAAGAGCUGCUACCCGUUCCAGGGACCCUGCCGCUGCCCCUCUGAGGGGUCUGCACCUCCUGGGAGCAGGUGGGUCUCUGGGACGAGGGUCCAUGGUGGAUGGCUCUGGAGACGCUCCCGAGGCUGUGCCGUCCCCCUGCUGCACAGGUCGGAGGGUCACCGCAGAGGCUACUCGGGCCGGGGCUGGGGCCGAGGGAGCCCACACUGGAGUCACUUAAUAUUACAGGGUCUCGCUCUGUUGCCCAGUGGCAUGAUCAUGGCUCACUGCAGCCUCCAACUACUGGCCUCAAGUGAUCCUCUUGCCUUGGCCUCCUGAAGUCCUGGAAUUAUAGGCGUGAGCCACUGCACUGGGCCCAUUUAAUACUCUGAGCCCCACCUUUCCCAUCUGUGGAUGGAGAUAAUGAUAAUAGCAUCUUUGUGGUGUGACUGUGAAGACAGAUGAGCAUGCAAAGCUCCAAGUGCCUGCUGAAUUAUAAGUGAAAUAAGAACGUGUGCUGCUGAAGGCUGUCCCUGGAGGCAGGGACACUCUGGCCAGGCCUC